GUGUCAGCAGCCGCGGUAAUACGUAGGAGGCGAGCGUUAUCCGGAUUUACUGGGCGUAAAGCGCGCGCAGGCGGCUUCGUAAGUCGGAUGUGAAAGCCCCUGGCUCAACUGGGGGAGGCCAUUCGAUACUGCGAGGCUUGAGGUCGGGAGAGGGGUGUGGAAUUCCCGGUGUAGUGGUGGAAUGCGUAGAUAUCGGGAGGAACACCAGUGGCGAAGGCGGCACCCUGGCCCGCACCUGACGCUCAGGCGCGAAAGCGUGGGGAGCGAACGGGAUUAGAUACCCCGGUAGUCCACGCCGUAAACGAUGGCGACUAGGUGUUGGGGCGGAGAGCUUCAGCGCCGGAGCGAACGCGAUAAGUCGACCGCCUGGGGAGUACGGCCGCAAGGCUAAAACUUAAAGGAAUUGACGGGG
Molecule: ribosomal RNA, 412 nt
Filed under: uncultured prokaryote
Description: bacterial SSU rRNA
Rfam family: Bacterial small subunit ribosomal RNA
Source: RNAcentral